CCAAGCUCCGCGUCGACGAAAACGCAACGUCCUGUUGCAUCGUCGACAUGACUCACAUCGUGUGAG
The sequence is a small RNA, 66 nucleotides long. It matches the Rfam family "Bacillaceae-1 RNA". The record is from Rfam.